UUUCCUACGGGACGCAGCAGUGGGGAAUAUUGCACAAUGGGGGAAACCCUGAUGCAGCGACGCCGCGUGAGUGAGGAAGUAUUUCGGUGUGUAAAGCUCUAUCAGCAGGGAAGAAAAUGACGGUACCUGACCAAGAAGCAUCGGCUAACUCCGUGCCAGCAGCCGCGGUAAUACGGAGGAUGCGAGCGUUAUCCGGAUUUAUUGGGUUUAAAGGGUGCGCAGGCGGUCUGUUAAGUCAGCGGUCAAGGCCCGGGGCUCAACCCCGGCCCGCCGUUGAAACUGGCAGUCUCGAGUUGGAGAGAAGU
Molecule: ribosomal RNA, 305 nt
Filed under: uncultured bacterium
Lineage: Bacteria
Description: bacterial SSU rRNA
Rfam family: Bacterial small subunit ribosomal RNA
Source: RNAcentral